AUAGAAUCUUCUGAAAGGAGAAAGCAGAAGUCUCUUAAAGGGACAGUGCACGUUGUUGUGGAGUGCAAUACAGGCUGCUGUUUCCUGUUGUCAGUUCUUUUAUGCAGGUAUGAUAUAUACCAGGCUAUCAGUAAUCCAGUGGUGGCUAUGCUCCUGCGGAUACAACGCUAGAAUCCAUGAGAGUUCUGUCGUAGAUCCAGCCUCUGCUGCUCUGCCAUACUGUGCCCAAUGAUUGCCAUGUUAUUGCAGGUCUAAUGGCCAGAAUAACCUGUCAGGGGACAAUAGGCCAGCACAGUCCAUUUGUGGAAUGACCAUGUUUACUCUGCCGCACAACAAGCUCCUUAGAAAGUUACAAUAAACCAAGUAGG
Hyla sarda is the source of this 368-nucleotide long non-coding RNA. RefSeq lists it as uncharacterized. Lineage: Eukaryota; Metazoa; Chordata; Amphibia; Anura; Hylidae. The transcript has 3 exons. The record is from RefSeq and is a predicted model, not a curated record.